ACGGGAGCAAUAAGGGUUACGAGUAAUCCGAUGAGAGUACUGUAUGAAUAAGGAUCGGCUAACUCCGUGCCAGCAGCCGCGGUAAUACGGAGGAUCCGAGCGUUAUCCGGAAUUAUUGGGUUUAAAGGGUGCGUAGGCGGCCAUUUAAGUCAGCGGUGAAAUUUUGCAGCUUAACUGUAACAGUGCCGUUGAUACUGUUUGGCUAGGAUUUGGUUGUAGUGUGCGGAAUGUGUGGUGUAGCGGUGAAAUGCUUAGAUAUCACACAGAACACCGAUUGCGAAGGCAGCACACUAAGUCAUUAUUGACGCUGAGGCAUGAAAGUGUGGGGAUCAAACAGGAUUAGAUACCCUGGUAGUCCACACUGUAAACGCUUAAAGGCGCUGUCGGCGAUCCACAGUCGGUGGCCAAGCGAAAGCAUUAAGUUAUCCACCUGGGGAGUACGACCGCAAGGUUGAAACUCAAAGGAAUUGACGGGGGCCCGCACAAGCGGAGGAACAUGUGGUUUAAUUCGAUGAUACGCGAGGAACCUUACCCGGGCCCGAACGGUGCAUGAAUAUACGAGAGAUUGUAUAGUCCUUCGGGACAUGUAUCGAGGUGCUGCAUGGUUGUCGUCAGCUCGUGCCGUGAGGUGUCGGCUUAAGUGCCAUAACGAGCGCAACCCUUGUCAUUAGUUGCCAUCAGGUCAAGCUGGGGACUUUAAUGAGACUGCCACCGUAAGGUGUGAGGAAGGGGGGGAUGACGUCAAAUCAGCACGGCCCUUAUGUCCGGGGCGACACACGUGUUACAAUGGGAGGUACAGAGGGCAGCUAUCCGGUGACGGAAUGCUAAUCUCCAAAACCUUUCUCAGUUCGGAUUGGAGUCUGCAGCUCGACUCCAUGAAGGUGGAUUCGCUAGUAAUCGCGCAUCAGCCAUGGCGCGGUGAAUACGUUCCCGGGCCUUGUACACACCGCCCGUCAAG
RNAcentral lists this ribosomal RNA (958 nucleotides) under uncultured bacterium. Its description in RNAcentral is "bacterial SSU rRNA". It matches the Rfam family "Bacterial small subunit ribosomal RNA", at positions 440 to 1401 of the family's 1533-position model. The record is from RNAcentral.